RNAcentral lists this non-coding RNA (148 nucleotides) under Homo sapiens (human). The record is from Rfam by way of RNAcentral. Lineage: Eukaryota; Metazoa; Chordata; Mammalia; Primates; Hominidae.
GCUGGGUGUGGUGGUGUGCACCUGUAGUCCCAGCUACUCAGGAGGCUGAGGCAGUAGAAUUGCUUGAACCCGGGAGGUGGAGGUUGCAGUGAGCUGAUAUUGUGCCACUGCCCUCCAGCCUGGGUGACAGAGCGAGACCCUGUCUCAA